Molecule: long non-coding RNA, 1869 nt
Filed under: Sus scrofa (pig)
Lineage: Eukaryota; Metazoa; Chordata; Mammalia; Artiodactyla; Suidae
Description: lncRNA (ENSSSCG00065009338.1)
Source: RNAcentral
GCACCAUGUAACAAAAAUAUGCCAUAGUGGAAGACAUAUUUAAAUAAAUAUUAAAUAAUACUCUUUACCAAUUGCUUGAUCACUGAAGGAAUUCUGUGUACUUGUAUAAAUUAAGACAAAUGAAUAGCAUAGCUGAAGAAAUGCUUAUCAGAAAUUAGAUAGUUAAGAGAAUUUCACAGCAAUGUAAAAGAACCUCAGGAGGAGUUUUAUGCUUUAUGAAAAACUUGCAGAGUUUAUAACUUAUAUCUUUUGCCCUUAUCUCUUCUUUUUCCCUACCUCUUGUCCCAGUUUUCAGGAGGAUUCAUUAAGCAAAUUGCAUUUGCAAUGAGGUUACAUUGAGUAUUUCUGUUCUCUGUCAACAAACCACAUAUCUUUUCAUGUAAAUCCAGGUAGACUUCAGAGUAGUCUUAAAAUAAUGCUAAUCUUCCUAUUGAGCUAUUUGAAGGAAAAGCAAAUGAUGAGGCUAAAGAGUAGAUAGAUUAUUUGUGUCUUCCUUCAGAUCAGGCUCCAGUAUGUGACUCUGGCCUCAAGGUUUUCCUAUCUGCUCCAGAAUGAAUCCAGGCCUGAAUUUUCAACACUCAAUUUGACCAAGGGUUUGGCUUAUAUCCUUUUUCUUCAUUAAUAGGGAAUUAUUUUCUGAUACUGGAUCUAAAUUCAAAAGUACUAUCUCUAAGUGCAAGUGUCUUUGAAACUAAAAAAAAAAAAAAAUUAUGGGAGCGGAAAAGGAAAAAUGGCACCCUAUGACUGUGAACUUGAUGGAUUUGUCUAGAGAGGAAAGGGGGUGGCAACUCUGGGAAAGUCAACAAAUCCCGUGGGGGAUCCAAACUUUGAUUACUUGGCCCACUGUUCCCAUUUAUUACAUAAAAUAAAAGCAAUGACAACAGUUUCCAUAUAGCAAGUGCCUGCUAUGUGCUAGGCUUUGUGCCAAGAUCUUUAAAACCAAAUUUUAAUCAAACCAUGCAAACCUGUGGGGCUUCUCUCCAAGGCAGUGAGCAGAAAAUUUGAACCCAGAUCUGCCUCUCCUGCUAUAGGUCUUGCUGCCAUGGAACCUCUUUUGAUUUUUUUUGUGGUCAGUGUUCAGGCAUGAUUCCAAAAAUGCAUUUAUAAUGUCACUUUUGCCUUUAAAAAACAUCAUGCCUCAGAGUUCUCAUUAUGACUCGGCAGAUUAAGAACCCAACUAGUAUCUGUGAGGAUGCAGAUUCGACCCCUGGCCUUGCUCAGUGGGUUAAGGAUUCAGCAUUGCUACAAGCUGCGGCCUAGUUCACAGAUGUGGCUCAGAUCCCGAAUUGCUGUGACUGUGGUGUAGGCUAGUAGCUGCAGCUCAGAUUUGACCCCUAGCCUGGGGAUUUCCACAUGCUGCAGGUGUGGCCCUAAAAAGAAAAAAAGAAAGAAAAAAAAAAAAAGAAAUUUAAAAAAAGAAAAAAGAAAAAAAAAAACAAAAACAAAAAACCUACAUUCAUAUCUGUAGCAAAGCAUUCCAAAGAAUCCUUUUACAAAAUAUUAACAAAUUCUCUGCCUUCCUGCCUUGAUCCCCCUCUUCAAACAAAGGGGGCCCGUGGCCUUUUGUGUUAGAAAUGAUUGGUUACUCAGUUUCAUCGUUGUAGGACUUCUCUAAGCCUGGAGUGUGUUGGUGCUAAUUGUGAAUUUCCAUGAAGAGAAGUCAGCAUGUAAGGUUCCCCAAACUGAGUACCUUAAGGAACCUGUUUUCUUCCUGAGAACCUCAUGGCCUGGUCACCAGGACAACAUCCUCCUGAAAAUGCUGGGCCUCUUAAUGCAUGGAGUUUUCAUCUGGAUUUUCAGGUCCUGUGUAAUCAUAUUUCCCCAUGAAUAUUUAGCAUGAAUAGUUUCUCUUCUAAUAGGUAGUGGGUA